GCUCAGCCGUCAACAAAGAUAGUAUAAAACACAGUACUAUUCGCCAGAGAACUACAAGCUAAGACUCGAAACUCCAAGGACUUGGCGGUGCUCCACAUCAACCUAGAGGAGCCUGUCCUAUAAUCGAUACCCCCCGAUCUACCUCACCACUUUUUGAAAUUCAGCCUAUAUACCGCCGUCGUCAGCCUACCUUAUGAAAGAAACAUAGUAGGCAAAAUAGUCACCAACUAAAACGUCAGGUCAAGGUGUAGCACAUAAACUGGAAGAGAUGGGCUACACUCUCUCCCUCAGAGAACACGAACAGCAUCAAUGAAACCCUGCUCAAAGGUGGAUUUAGUAGUAAGAUAAACAAGAGAACUUAUCUUAAACCAGCCCUGGAGCGCGC
Molecule: ribosomal RNA, 385 nt
Filed under: Oligosoma nigriplantare nigriplantare
Lineage: Eukaryota; Metazoa; Chordata; Lepidosauria; Squamata; Scincidae
Description: partial 12S ribosomal RNA
Rfam family: Bacterial small subunit ribosomal RNA
Source: RNAcentral